Long non-coding RNA from Triplophysa rosa, 749 nucleotides. RefSeq lists it as uncharacterized. The record is from RefSeq and is a predicted model, not a curated record. The transcript has 3 exons. Lineage: Eukaryota; Metazoa; Chordata; Actinopteri; Cypriniformes; Nemacheilidae.
ACCAUGCACUGUGCUGUGUUUUACCUUUCUGUGUUUUUCUUAUUUGCUCCUGUAAAGCUGCUUUGGAACAAUGCACAUUGUGAAAAGCGCUAUAUAAAUAAAAUUGAAUUGAAUUUUCUCUUAAUAAGGUAAUUAUUUACAAUUUGUGAAGUUAUGAAGAUGUUUCUCCCUGAUUGUAUUCGGUGUGUAUGUUAAUAUGUAAGUUCUGCAUUAAAACAAAAAAUACAGUGCAACGGAUCGAUCGUCAUGGCAGAGCAGAGGAGGCAGAUCUCAAGUAUGUCUAGAUGCCUCUGUUCAGACACAAGACACUUUACAUAGCUUAGAUAUUACAGUGGUGUGCUCUGGAAGAAAUGCAAUGAAACAUUCAAGGCUCAACUCACACGAUCAUUCUGUUUGAUCAUUUACAUACACUGGAUUCUUAAUCAUGUUACUUGGACAAUCAACGACUGUUUUUGUUUUGUGGUUGUUAAGAAUAAGUACCUUGUUUGUCCUCAGCUGUCAACUGCCCGCUGAUCUUCAGAAAAAUCAUCCAGUUCUUGCGCAUUCUUUGCUUUACCAGCAUCAUAUUAUGAUAUAUGGCUCAGCAAAAUGUCUCCAUACCGACGCUUACCUGGUCUGAACUAUAUCUGUAUGAGGGACACCUCUGCUACAACCAGCAUUUGGUCACAUUUUCAAACAGCAUAUCAUUUUAUUUUAACUUUUAUACCUCAACAAAAUGUUUGGUAUCAUAUGAUUUAAGCAGAAUUGUA